UACGGGGGGGGCAAGCGUUGUUCGGAAUUACUGGGCGUAAAGGGUUCGUAGGUGGCCCGCUAAGUCAGACGUGAAAUCCCUCAGCUCAACUGGGGAACUGCGUCUGAGACUGGCGGGCUUGAGUGCAGGAGAGGAACGCGGAAUUCCAGGUGUAGCGGUGAAAUGCGUAGAUAUCUGGAGGAACACCGGUGGCGAAGGCGGCGUUCUGGACUGUUACUGACACUGAGGAACGAAAGCCAGGGGAGCAAACGG
Molecule: ribosomal RNA, 252 nt
Filed under: uncultured prokaryote
Description: partial 16S ribosomal RNA
Rfam family: Bacterial small subunit ribosomal RNA
Source: RNAcentral